CCUACGGGCGGCAGCAGUGGGGAAUAUUGCGCAAUGGGCGAAAGCCUGACGCAGCGACGCCGCGUGAGGGAUGAAGGUCCUCGGAUCGUAAACCUCCGUCAGCAGGGAAGAACGGUCACUGUGCUAAUCAGCAGUGAAUUGACGGUACCUGCAAAGGAAGCACCGGCUAACUCCGUGCCAGCAGCCGCGGUAAUACGGAGGGUGCGAGCGUUAGACGGAAUUACUGGGCGUAAAGCGCACGUAGGCGGUAUGUCAAGUCAAGGGUGAAAUCCCCGCGCUCAACGUGGGAACUGCCUUUGAAACUGGCAACCUGGAGUGUGUGAGAGGCUGGUGGAAUUCCAGGUGUAGGGGUGAAAUCCGUAGAUAUCUGGAGGAACAUCAGUGGCGAAGGCGACUAUCUGGCACCUAACUGACGCUGAGGAGCGAAAGCGUGGGUAGCAAACAGGAUUAGAUACCCCAGUAGUC
This 465-nucleotide ribosomal RNA is filed under the name uncultured bacterium. RNAcentral's name for it is "partial 16S ribosomal RNA". It matches the Rfam family "Bacterial small subunit ribosomal RNA", at positions 338 to 795 of the family's 1533-position model. The record is from RNAcentral.